UACCUACGGGUGGCUGCAGUGAGGAAUCUUGCGCAAUGGGGGAAACCCUGACGCAGCAACGCCGCGUGAGUGAGGAAGGCCUUCGGGUCGUAAAGCUCUGUCAGAUGGGAAGAAAUGGGUGGGGGCUAAUAUCGUCCAUCCUUGACGGUACCAUCAGAGGAAGCACCGGCUAACUCCGUGCCAGCAGCCGCGGUAAUACGGGGGGUGCAAGCGUUGUUCGGAAUCAUUGGGCGUAAAGCGCGCGCAGGCGGCUUGUUAAGUAAGAUGUGAAAUCCCUGGGCUUAACCCAGGAAGUGCAUUUGAUACUGCCUCGCUAGAGUACGGGAGAGGAAAGUGGAAUUCCUGGUGUAGAGGUGAAAUUCGUAGAUAUCAGGAGGAACACCGGUGGCGAAGGCGACUUUCUGGCCCGAUACUGACGCUCAGGCGCGAAAGCGUGGGGAGCAAACAGGAUUAGAUACCCUUGUAGUC
RNAcentral lists this ribosomal RNA (468 nucleotides) under uncultured Syntrophaceae bacterium. RNAcentral describes it as "bacterial SSU rRNA". It matches the Rfam family "Bacterial small subunit ribosomal RNA", at positions 335 to 795 of the family's 1533-position model. Lineage: Bacteria; Pseudomonadati; Thermodesulfobacteriota; Syntrophia; Syntrophales; Syntrophaceae. The record is from RNAcentral.